Molecule: long non-coding RNA, 147 nt
Organism: Chelonia mydas (Green sea turtle)
Lineage: Eukaryota; Metazoa; Chordata; Testudines; Cheloniidae
Exons: 3
Source: RefSeq, a predicted model, not a curated record
AUUCUUCAGAAUCAUGAACUCUACCAUUUCAUGAUCACUUUCAUCCAAGCUGCCUUCCACUUUCAAAUUCUCAACCAGUUCCUCCCUAUUUGUCAAAAUCAAAUCUACAACAGCCUCUUCCCUAGUAGCUUUCUCAACCACCUGAAA